GUGUCAGCCGCCGCGGUAACCCCAGCGCCCCAAGCGGGAAUCACGAUUAUUGGGUCUAAAGCGUUCGUAGCAGGUUCUGUAAAUCUUUUGUGAAAUCGGCAGGCUUAACUUGUCGGCGUGCAGGGGACACUGCAGAACUCGAGACUGGGAGAGGUUAGAAGUAUUCCUUGGGUACCGGUAAAAUGGGUUAAUCCAAGGAGGACUACCAAUGGCGAAGGCAUCUGACCAGAACAGUUCUGACUGUGAGGAACGAAAGCUAGGGGAGCAAAACGGAUUAGAAACCCGCGUAGUCC
RNAcentral lists this ribosomal RNA (293 nucleotides) under uncultured bacterium. Its description in RNAcentral is "partial 16S ribosomal RNA". It matches the Rfam family "Archaeal small subunit ribosomal RNA", at positions 455 to 747 of the family's 1478-position model. The record is from RNAcentral.